UGGAGCCGGAUAUUAGUUGAUUUCCUUGAGCCCGAUUCUCAGCUAGUCUAUCUUACUGACCCUGAGAGAAUGAAAGGCAAAGUCAACCCCUGCAGAAUUUGAAAACUGGAAGAAAUGCCACUAAACAUGUCUAGUGCAGUAAUGAUUCUGCAUAUAUAAUAAUAAUAAUAAUAAUAAUAAUAAUAAAGUCGUUUUUUUAUGGUUUCUUGUAAUAUGGGAAAGCCAUCAUAAAGUAAAUAAACAUAAUUACAAAUAAAACACAAAAAUAAAAAUAACUUCGUCUGUGUAUGACAAGUAAAUAAGAAUUUUGUGGUCUACAUUAACGUCAUCAUCUGCACACACACAUACACAUACACAGUAAUAUGAAUAUACAUACUUGUAUAUAAUUUUGUAUGCUUUAUGUUUAUUUCUUUUCAAUCUCUUCCUUCUUCUCCUUCUCCUUCCUCUAUACACUCUGUAAUCUACAUCCUCCUCUUUCACCUCCUCCACAGCUGGAGGGGAAAACGGUAAGGAGUGGGUGGGGGGAAUUGUUGUUGUUGUUGUUGUUCAUUUCAGUCUUUGAAAUGAAUUUGUCAAAAUUAAUGUGAAAUUCUUCACAUAUUGUUAUGGCUGUUAUGUAUUAUCAUUAUUAUUAAUUUUAUUAUCAUUUCAGUUCACACCUCAUCAAUAACGGUUUUCUUUAAUUUCUCCAAUAUUACAUCAAUAUGCAUGUUUUGCGAUCAUUAUGGAUUCACAAAAUUCAAUGUGCUUUUCAACAUGGUGCCAAUAUAAUUAUCACAUUUAUUAUGGUUAGACAUAUCUUUUUAUUUUCAUUUCAAUGUUGUAAAGCACAUGUAAAUAUACAUGCAUAUAACACACACAUAUAUAUAUAUAUAAUAUAUAUAUAUAUAUAUAUAUAUAUAUAUAGAUAUAUAUAUAUAUAUAUAUAUAUAUAUAUAUAUAUAUAUAUAUGUUGUAUAUCUCAUCUCAUUUGAAAUUUCUUUCAAUUUUGUUAAUUUGGAUUUCCUUCUUUUCUCAAUUUUUGUGUCAUUUGAUAUGGUUUUAAAAUUCUUCUUGAAUUAUUAUUAUUAUUAUUUUAUGUCCAUUUUAUAUCAUUCUUAUAUGAAUUCUUAUUUAUUUCAAUUUAUAUGGUUUGUUAUUGUAUAAUAUCACUUUAAUAUGUAUGAUUCAAAAUAGUUUUAUGAGAAUUUCAAGAAUUAAAUACCAUUUUUAUACAAUGUUUGAUAUUUUAGGAUAAUUCAAAACUGUUGUAUGUGUGUGUGUGUGGUGUGUGUGUGUGUCAGAGAGAAAGAGAGAGAGAGAAACAGACUGACAGACAGGGAGAGACUGUUGUGUGUGUGUGUGUGUGUGUGUGUGUGUGUGUAGGAAGGUUUUAAAUAUCGCGACUGAAGGCGGGUAUGAGAAGAGAGGGUAACUUGAUAAGUCUGACAUUCCUGCAGACGAUAGAAAUCUGGGGUGGAGGAAGAAUUUUCAAAAGCCAGCAUCGCCAUCAUCGCCACCUUCAAACAUCAUACUAGGUGCGAAUCAACGAGGAAGCAGCCUUUAUGAGUCACCCGACAUGCUAGAAAUAACAGUCAACCUUCCUUCAACCACACUCUGCAGGAU
Molecule: long non-coding RNA, 1605 nt
Organism: Octopus sinensis (East Asian common octopus)
Lineage: Eukaryota; Metazoa; Mollusca; Cephalopoda; Octopoda; Octopodidae
Exons: 2
Source: RefSeq, a predicted model, not a curated record